UGUUCCCCUUACCCGCAAGGGCUGCGCCCCCCGACUGCGCGGACCGCUUGAGAGACAGCGGGACAGAGAUGGGCCCAGGGCACUAUCCACAGGGCCCGAGCGGAGCGCGGCGCUCCGCCUGGCCGCCGCCAACGGCCCGCGCCCCGGCGCAGGGAGCAAGCGUGCGCAGGCGGGGGCGCGCGCGUGCCCGGUGGGGGCCGCACGCACGUUCGGCCUCGCCACGCGGGGCGCUGCAGUGCGUCCUCCGCGAAGCCUUUCCGGCUCGGGAGCUGAGCCAGACCUCUUGAGACCCCCAGCCCUUAACUGGAAUGUCUGCGUCCCCUUCCCUCGGGCUGGUGGUGGGAGAAUCUGCAGUUUGUUCGCCUGCCCAUCCCAGCGUCCGACCAGAAACAGCAGGCACACAGGGGGCGCCUGCUGAGUGUGUGAACCCCCACGGUAGAGCAGGGCACUGUGCGAGAGAAAAACGGUAACAGCAGCGGUCGCUCUGUCUCACACCUUCCCAGGCUGGGCGCUCUCAUGCACUCCUGGUUCCAUCUGCGCCCAGGAUAAAUGCAGCGGUGCUGGUCUGCAUUUCGGAGAGGAGAAAACGGAAACCAAAAAGGAUGGACCAUGGAAUGAGCUGAGAGAGGCCCCCUCCCCACCUCCUCAGCCACCACCGAACUUCCCCUUCCGGACUGCCCUCGUGGGUGGGGCCCUCAGAGACCGGGGACCAGCAGGAGACCAACAGAGGCCUUAGCAACGCCCCAAGCCUCUGUGUUGCAGCAACAGGCCAGUAGGCAAGGUGGCACUGCACUUGGGCCAGACUUCCUUUUGCUUAUGGAGCAUGCGGCAGCCCCAGGCCGCAGGCCGGAGCCCCCACCCUGGGCCACUGAGAAUGUUCUGCGGCAGGCCGAGGACUGGACAACCAGCCUCAAGACAGAGCUUCCCUCAGAUCUACAACUGAGUGAGGAGCAGCGGCUGCAGAUCUCCAAGGAGUUGGUUGACCUGCAGAUCACAACGCAUCACUUGCGGGAGCAACACGAGGCUGAACUCUUUGAGCUGAAGAGUGAGGUCCUGCGGCUGGAGAGCCGGGUGCUGGAGCUGGAGCUGCAUGGAGAUUGUGCAGCCCCGGCAGAGGCUGACCUGGGGCGCCGCCAGAAGCUGGCACAGGGGCUUGGGCACAAGGCCCAGGAGCAGGUACACUCCAUCCACCACAGACCCCAGGUCACCCUAAGUGCAUGGAGGGCCUGCCUGGGUGGAUUGGGCGGCGGGGAGCCAAACAGGGGUGCACAGGGGCGCAGUGAGGUUGGGACCGGCUCUCCUGUACAGGCACAGCCUGAGGACUUCUUGACCCCUAAGACUGAACAACAGAAGCUGGGGAACAGUGUGAGCGCGCAGCUCCCUAGCCUGGGAAUUAGUGCAGAUCUGUCCCAGCCCAGGGUGCGGCUGGGCAAGGCCAGGGACCCAGAGCUUGGGGUCUCAUUCAGCCAGCCCUUGUGUACCCGGCAGCUACAGGGAGAAUGGCAGCGAGUGCUGGAGCAGCACAGGGCCCAGAAGCAGGCACUGGAGACCCGCGUGGCAGAUCUGGGUCGGCGGCUGCAGGGAGCCCGAGAGGAGGCCAGGAUGGCUGGGCAGCGACUGGCCACACAAGCCAUGGUAUUGUCUGCCUGCCAGGGCCAGCUCCGCCAGGCUGAGGCGGAGAACGCCCAGCUGCAGCUGCAGCUCAAGAAGCUGAACCAAGAGUAUGCCAUCCAGCUGCAGCGAUGUGCCCAAGCCGUGGCCGUGAGCACCACCUGGGGGUGGCCCUGUGCUGGGUGGGAGGCUUCGGGUCCCGCGGAGCCCAAGCCUGGCCCGAGUGCGCUGGGCUGCUUCCGGGAGACCCCGUGGGCCCGGCCUGCCGCACGGCCCAAUCUGCUCCACAGAGGGAACCGUGGGAGGAAGUGUGGGCCCAACCAAGCCCCGCCCUUGUCAGUCCUGGCCCCACCCCCACCCCCAGCCCCGCCCAAUCUCCUCCAGGAGUCUGCAAAGCCCACCGGCCAGGUGCCGGAAGCCGCAGCCCUUAGGACGUUCCUGGAGACCACUCUGGAGGACAUCCGGGCAGCACACCGCAGCCGUGAACAGCAGUUGGCCCGGGCUGCUCGCGCCUACCGCAAGCGCCUGGCAGAUCUGAGCCGUAGACAUGAGGAGCUGCUGGCCAACCACAGUGUGCAGCAGGUGCCGGCAGACCCCAGUGGGGCACCCUGGACCCCCAAGGCUACCUUUGAUGCAGCCACCUCAGACCUGGAGCCACUGCCUCUGCACCUGGUCACCAAACUCAGUCACCUACCAGAGAACCAGGCCAGGCUGGAGACGAAGCUUUGGAAGCUCCAGGCCCAGCGUUUCCAGUCCAAUGGGCUCAUGACGCUGCUCUUGUUCCUACAGAAGGGACCCAGUGGAGCCUCCCAGGGGAGCACAUCAGAGCCACAGGGCCAGGAACCUGCCUCCUGGGCCCAGAUCCACCAGAAGCUCCAGGACUUCUCCCGUGGCACCCAGAGCUGGAACGCGAGCGGGCAAAGCUACUAGUCCGGGCCACGAUGGCUGAGGAGCAACUUUCUGAGCUACAGGACUAUGUGGACCAGCACUUAGGCAGGUACAAACAAGAGAUCCUGAGGCUGAGGAAGCUAAUGGGUACAGAGGAUGCCUGCAAAGUGGGGGCCACCCCUCCAGUCAAGCCCCAGCACUCCAAGACCCGCAGCCGCUAGCCAGCUGUCAAAUGCACUCAGCAG
RNA transcript from Acinonyx jubatus (cheetah), 2744 nucleotides. It is a transcript of the gene named coiled-coil domain containing 78, with no coding region annotated. Lineage: Eukaryota; Metazoa; Chordata; Mammalia; Carnivora; Felidae. The transcript is spliced from 11 exons. The record is from RefSeq and is a predicted model, not a curated record.